CAGUCGCCGCGGUAAUACAGAGGAUUUAAGCGUUACCCGGAAUGAUUGGGCGUAAAGCGUCUGUAGGUGGCUUUUCAAGUCCGUCGUCAAAUCCCAGGGCUCAACCCUGGACAGGCGGUGGAAACUACCAAGUUGGAGUACGGUAGGGGCAGAGGGAAUUUCCGGUGGAGCGGUGAAAUGCGUUGAGAUCGGAAAGAACACCAACGGCGAAAGCACCCUGCUGGGCCGACGUUGACACUGAGAGACGAACGCUAGGGGAGAAAAUGGGAUUAGAUACCCCAGUAGUCCCUGUCUCUUAUAA
This 301-nucleotide ribosomal RNA is filed under the name uncultured bacterium. RNAcentral describes it as "partial 16S ribosomal RNA". It matches the Rfam family "Bacterial small subunit ribosomal RNA", at positions 509 to 809 of the family's 1533-position model. The record is from RNAcentral.